GACGAACGCUGGCGGCGUGCUUAACACAUGCAAGUCGAACGGAAAGGCCUCUUUCGGGUGGUACUCGAGUGGCGAACGGGUGAGUAACACGUGAGUAACCUGCCCUUGACUUUGUGAUAACUUCAGGAAACUGGGGCUAAUACCGGAUAGGAGCGCCUGCUGCAUGGUGGGGGUUGGAAAGUUUCGGCGGUUGGGGAGGGACUCGCGGUUUAUCAGCUUGUUGGGGGGGUAGUGGCUUACCAAGGCGUUUUCGGGUAUCCGGCCUGGGAGGGUGGCCGGCCACAUUGGGACUGAGAUACGGCCCAGACUCCUACGGGAGGCAGCAGUGGGGAAUAUUGCACAAUGGGUGGAAGCCUGAUGCAGCAACGCCGUGGGCGGGAUGACGGCCUUCGGGUUGGAAACCGCUUUCGCUCAUGACGAAGCUUUGUGUGACGGUAGUGGGUAAAGAAGCACCGGCUAACUACGUG
This 467-nucleotide ribosomal RNA is filed under the name uncultured bacterium. RNAcentral describes it as "partial 16S ribosomal RNA". It matches the Rfam family "Bacterial small subunit ribosomal RNA", at positions 28 to 507 of the family's 1533-position model. The record is from RNAcentral.